UAGCCGUAAACGAUACUCGCUAGGUGUCGGCCACGGUGCGACUGUUGUCGGUGCCGUAGGGAAGCCGUGAAGCGAGCCACCUGGGAAGUACGGCCGCAAGGCUGAAACUUAAAGGAAUUGGCGGGGGAGCACAACAACGGGUGGAGCUUGCGGUUUAAUUGGAUUCAACGCCGGAAAUCUUACCGGGACCGACAGCAACAUGAAGGCCAAGCUGAAGACUUUGCCGGAUUAGCUGAGAGGUGGUGCAUGGCGUAGUCGUGU
RNAcentral lists this ribosomal RNA (261 nucleotides) under uncultured archaeon. Its description in RNAcentral is "partial 16S ribosomal RNA". It matches the Rfam family "Archaeal small subunit ribosomal RNA", at positions 748 to 1009 of the family's 1478-position model. The record is from RNAcentral.